UACGGAGGGUGCAAGCAUUGAUCGGAAUUACUGGGCGUAAAGGGCGCGUAGGCGGUCAGGAAAGUCAGAUGUGAAAUUCUAGGGCUCAACCCCAGGGCUGCAUUUGAAACUUCCUAUCUAGAGUUCAGUUAGGGAAAACGGAAUUCCACGUGUAGCGGUGAAAUGCGUAGAUAUGUGGAAGAACACCAGUGGUGAAGACGGUUUACUGGGCUGAUACUGACGCUGAGGCGCGAAAGCAUGGGGAGCAAACAGG
Molecule: ribosomal RNA, 253 nt
Filed under: uncultured bacterium
Lineage: Bacteria
Description: partial 16S ribosomal RNA
Rfam family: Bacterial small subunit ribosomal RNA
Source: RNAcentral